Quercus robur (English oak) is the source of this 1403-nucleotide long non-coding RNA. RefSeq lists it as uncharacterized. The record is from RefSeq and is a predicted model, not a curated record. Lineage: Eukaryota; Viridiplantae; Streptophyta; Magnoliopsida; Fagales; Fagaceae. The transcript is spliced from 2 exons.
UCUUUCAUGUGAGUACUCUGGGUGCAAUAGCUCAAAUCCUAGCCUUCCAUUCAAUCUAAUGGUUCUAAAAUAACUCUACGUCAUCAAUCCGCGUCAACUUAGUAAAAAACAAUUUUAAUUCACUCUCAUUCCUUCUUUCUCUCAUUUUUUUCCUGUUCAUGUCUUUCUCUCUGCAACUUUUCACUCCUUAGUCCUCUCCUCUGUUCUCUCUAAUUUUCAAAAUUUUCAAAAAAUCCCGAUGUUGUUACCGCUUCGCUUGCGCUCUCGCGGCAAACUACCGUCAUCGUACGGACCAAGUCUCGAAUCAGCCACCAUUGCGCCACCCACCGGCCACCAUUUCUCUCCCCCAAUGAUCUAUCAGCCCCUGCUACGCCUCUGUCGGCUUCACUGCUUAGCAUCUCUAAACUACACUGCCAGCCCAAUCACUUCCCAAUGAGUUCUCUCUCUGACUUUCCAUAUAUAUUGGGAACACGAAAGAAAAUAAAUUGAAAUUGCAAUUUUUUUUUUUUUUUAGUUAGUUUUGAGAUUAAGGAUUGAAAUUAGAUGGUGGGUUUUUUGGCUAUGGGAUUUAUGGGUUCUUUUAAUCUGGGUUUUUUUUUUUUUUUUUUUUUUUUUUUUUUUUUUUUUUCAUUCUCACGGUGGUGAUUUGUACUAAGACCCAAGAAAUUGUUGAUGGGUAUAUUGUUUUGCUCGGUAUUAUGGGUUGGAUUAUUAAUUUGUUUAUUUUUGAACUUGAGCAGAAUUUAAUGCUUCUUCAUUGUUGAACUUGAAAGGCACUAUGAAUACCUUUAUCUAACUUAAGUUGGACAUAUAGGUGAUAUAUGUGGACAAUUUAGAGAUUUGUUUUAUUAUUAUUUUUUAAUAGGGUAUUGCAAUGAAGAUUAGGCAUAUCAAAAUCUGUUAGUGAUUGGAAUAAUUCAUUAUUACAGAAUUUGCAUCAAUGUGAAGUUCUAAAUUUAUACAUCAAUUUAGUGUGUUCAUUUGCAGUUAGAUGGCAUUAGUUUUGAUGAUGGAGAGUCUCCAUUGUAGACCUCUCAAAGUUGAAAAGGUGAUUUCUUGGAUGCAAUUGAGCACUAAACCUGUUUUUUCUGAAUUGGUGGCUCAAUAAUCUCAGCAUGGUUAUACAUAAGGGCUGGCACUAACGGGCUACCAUAGACAAGCCACUUGAGAUCGAAAAAGCAUAUGAUCUUGAAGCACACACACUUAUUUCCCUCUUUUCUUUGUGUGGAAAUUAUAUAUAUUCUACUAGCUAGUGGGAAAAAUUGGCCUUAUAAUCAAGGUCUAUAAUUCAGUAGAACUCUUGUUAUCUUGUUAUUUGGCAUUUUGAUCAAAGUAUACAUUUCAAUGAAAUUUGAACUCUAUUGGAACAAGUAUUUUUUGUUCCUUUUAUGUGUUUGUUUUAA